Molecule: RNase P RNA, 388 nt
Filed under: Deltaproteobacteria bacterium
Lineage: Bacteria; Pseudomonadati; Myxococcota; Myxococcia
Description: RNase P RNA component class A
Rfam family: Bacterial RNase P class A
About the family: Ribonuclease P (RNase P) is a ubiquitous endoribonuclease, found in archaea, bacteria and eukarya as well as chloroplasts and mitochondria. Its best characterised activity is the generation of mature 5'-ends of tRNAs by cleaving the 5'-leader elements of precursor-tRNAs.
Source: RNAcentral
GGAGGAGGUCGAGCAGCCGCCCGUCGCACCGCGGCGGGAGGAAAGUCCGGACUCCAUAGGGCAGGGUGGCCGCUAACGGCGGCCUCGAGCAAUCGGGGGAAAGUGCCACAGAAAAGAGACCGCCCCGGACCGAAGGCCCGGAGCAAGGGUGAAAAGGCGAGGUAAGAGCUCGCCAGAUCCGUUCGAGAGAACGGAUGCUCGGCAAACCCCACCCGGAGCAAGACCGAGUAGGAGGGAGAUCCGGCCACCUCGGCCGGGUGCGGGUGGUCCGCCCGUUCCCUCGGGUCGGUCGCUCGAUCCCUCGGGUAACCGGGGGACCAGACGAAUGGCUGCUGCCCCCGCUUCCUGAGCGGGGGAACAGAAUCCGGCUUACAGACCUCCUCCGGCG